CCUACGGGUGGCAGCAGUAGGGAAUAUUGCUCAAUGGGGGAAACCCUGAAGCAGCGACGCCGCGUGAGGGAAGAAGGUUUUCGGAAUGUAAACUCCUUUUGUUAGAAAAGAUAAUGACGGUAUCUGACGAAUAAGCACCGGCUAACUCCGUGCAAGCAGCCGCGGUAAUACGGAGGGUGCAAGCGUUACUCGGAAUCACUGGGCGUAAAGAGAGCGUAGGCGGGAUCGCAAGUCAGAUGUGAAAUGCUAGGGCUUAACCCCAGAAAUGCAUUUGAAACUGUGAUUCUAGAGUAUGGGAGAGGUAGGUGGAAUUCUUGGUGUAGGGGUAAAAUCCGUAGAGAUCAAGAGGAACACUCAUUGCGAAGGCGACCUGCUAGAACAUAACUGACGCUGAGGCGCGAAAGCGUGGGGAGCAAACAGGAUUAGAUACCCCAGUAGUC
RNAcentral lists this ribosomal RNA (440 nucleotides) under uncultured bacterium. Its description in RNAcentral is "partial 16S ribosomal RNA". It matches the Rfam family "Bacterial small subunit ribosomal RNA", at positions 338 to 795 of the family's 1533-position model. The record is from RNAcentral.